GACAAGUUAAGGCACAAUAUACACCAUAUAAGAUACCCUGGGGUGUCUGCUUUAUCAAAUGAAAGCCCUUUGUGGGGUUAUUUGAACAGUCACACUGCUAUAAUACCCUAAAAUGAGACAUAGGCCGGUCAAAUCCAUCUACGAAAAUUCUAAUUAUAGAAACUGAAAUAGCCUUGUCUCUUAUAUGGCACUGUAGCUUUACAGAAUAGUGCCAAAGGCAUACAAUGGGGGUAUCGUUAUACUCCGCAGAUGUAGCUGAACACAAUAUGGGCUUCUGUGCAGGAAUAGCACACACCAGCUUUACGAAAUACACA
Pelobates cultripes (western spadefoot toad) is the source of this 314-nucleotide non-coding RNA. The record is from the annotation of a GenBank genome assembly. Lineage: Eukaryota; Metazoa; Chordata; Amphibia; Anura; Pelobatidae.